This 585-nucleotide unclassified non-coding RNA is filed under the name Melitaea cinxia (Glanville fritillary). RNAcentral's name for it is "misc RNA ENSMCXG00005005055.1". Lineage: Eukaryota; Metazoa; Arthropoda; Insecta; Lepidoptera; Nymphalidae. The record is from RNAcentral.
GGGCGGAUAGCGGUCUUAACGUGCGAAACGGAACAACAUAUUUAACCUACAAUAAAAACUUUUUUGUUAAAUAUAAUAAUAUUUUUUUUUCAAUAUCUGUGAAUCGUAUUAUAAGCCGACGGAUUUAAAAACGACAUUUUCACCAUGGAUCGUUCAAGGUUUUUCGGUUGUUUCGAAAAAUGGUUUAAUAUGACUUUGACAGUUCUAUAAAAAUAUUUACAAAUUGUUCAAAAAGGACUUUUUUGAAAUUGAUUAUUUUUGUUUGAAAACUUAGGUUGUGAUUUUAUAAUCGUUUUUAAUUAGUGUUCAUAAUGUGAAAUUAUGCUGUAAGCAAUACACAAAGUUGUUAAGCAAAUUAUAUUGGAGAUUCAGAUGCGAAAAUGCGUGAACGUUGACGUAAUCUUAGCAACAUAAUAAUGUGACACAAUAUUUCUUUUUACUUUAAAUAAUGUUUUUAAUAUGAGUAUGUGAUUUUAUAAUAAUAUUGUUUAUAUUAUGGCCAGUAUUAGUUAUUAGAUAGUUUUAGUCAAUUGUGUUUAAGGAUGUCAACGUCGCGAGGAGAGUUUAUGGAUUUGGGUUGGUAAG